ACGCUCAUCCUAAAAAAAAAAAAUAAGAGUUUUAAUACCCAAUUAAAGGGCAAAAUCCCUAAAACUAACAGAGUGACUUCCAAAAAAAACCAAAAUUUCCUUCAAUACUCCCGCAAAACUAAAGUGGAACAACCUUCCGACGCAGAUCUGCACCGCCGCUCCAUUGCACCGCCUUCCGAUUGCUUCCUAGCCUUCGUUGAACGCCGUCUGUACCACCGUUGCCUUCAAUUCCGAUAUCGGUUGUGAUGUUUAUCAGAUGAUCUGCAGUUGGGUUUUUUGUCCUGCAGAUAUGUUGGUGUUGUCAUGUUGUCUGCCUUAUAUGUUGCAGUCUAGUUAAAUUAGGAGGGGGCGUGCACCAAAUUAGCCGUAGCUGAGUUCUUACCAUUACGGUUUCCAUGAGGAUGGUUUGAAGAUCUUUCUUUCAAACCUAUAUUAUCCUUCCAUGUCAAUGGAAGAUAAAAAGAGGUUUUGUUCUUUCGCACUUGAUUGUGUCACCAGGCCUACGUGUUUUUGUAAUUAGCUGGACCUCUAUACUGAAGUGUUCUUGUUUGCCUUUUUUCUUUUGCAUAUAUGUAAUCAAUAAUGCGUGCAGCAGACCAAAUAGAAGGGCACUGCUUCCCAUUGAGCCUUUCUGAUGGCCCUAGCUAUGAAAUUCAACCCUAGAGAAUAUGAUUUGUCGCAAUAUUUUACCAAAGCUCCCACGUAUUCUCAAACUGCUAUUGACGAGCUAAGGGAGAGGUGGAUCUCAUACGUUACCGAAUAUCACUAACCAAAUAACGAUGAAGAUCAAGAUGGUGAUGACGAUGACGAUGAUCUAGUGUGACUUAAGUUAGCUCAAGGAGAUGGUUACCUCAGUUCAGUCCUGCAUUUUCGAUGUUGCUGCAGAAUUGCUCUUGCUGCAGACGUUGCUGUUGCUACAGAAUCUGUUACUGCUGUUGCUGUUUUUUUUGUUUUUUUUUUGUUUUUUUAAUAGUGAUAUUGGUUUUUUUUUGCCGUACCUUGUGUAGACCAUUUAUAUUUCACCAAUGAAUAAUAGGAUUUUUUAUUGAAUGAAUAAUAUUAUUUUGUUAUUGAAUGAAAGGAUUUUUGGAAA
This is a long non-coding RNA of Spinacia oleracea (spinach), 1093 nucleotides long. RefSeq lists it as uncharacterized. Lineage: Eukaryota; Viridiplantae; Streptophyta; Magnoliopsida; Caryophyllales; Amaranthaceae. The record is from RefSeq and is a predicted model, not a curated record. The transcript has 4 exons.